RNAcentral lists this ribosomal RNA (498 nucleotides) under uncultured bacterium. RNAcentral's name for it is "partial 16S ribosomal RNA". It matches the Rfam family "Bacterial small subunit ribosomal RNA", at positions 30 to 523 of the family's 1533-position model. The record is from RNAcentral.
AUUGAACGCUGGCGGCAUGCCUUACACAUGCAAGUCGAACGGCAACAGGUCUUCGGAUGCUGACGAGUGGCGAACGGGUGAGUAAUACAUCGGAACGUACCCGAUCGUGGGGGAUAACGAAGCGAAAGCUUUGCUAAUACCGCAUAAGAUCUACGGAUGAAAGCAGGGGACCGCAAGGCCUUGCGCGAACGGAGCGGCCGAUGGCAGAUUAGGUAGUUGGUGGGAUAAAAGCUUACCAAGCCGACGAUCUGUAGCUAGUCUGAGAGGACGACCAGCCACACUGGGACUGAGACACGGCCCAGACUCCUACGGGAGGCAGCAGUGGGGAAUUUUGGACAAUGGGCGAAAGCCUGAUCCAGCCAUGCCGCGUGCAGGAUGAAGGCCUUCGGGUUGUAAACUGCUUUUGUACGGAACGAAAAGACUCUUUCUAAUAAAGAGGGUCCAUGACGGUACCGUAAGAAUAAGCACCGGCUAACUACGUGCCAGCCGCCGCCGUAA